This 591-nucleotide long non-coding RNA is filed under the name Carica papaya (papaya). RNAcentral describes it as "long non-coding RNA (CPAP_LNC003884)". Lineage: Eukaryota; Viridiplantae; Streptophyta; Magnoliopsida; Brassicales; Caricaceae. The record is from RNAcentral.
AUUAGUAUUCGUGAUGUCACAACGCGAAGCACAUGUUUACCCAAAAAGGUUAAGAAUUGAGCAAGUUAUGGAGUCACCAUUACUAAGGUAAGACUAAGGGUCAAACCCGUAUAUAGUUCCAAUCAUCAAGUUUCAUGCACUAUACCAAUGCCCCAUAGUUCUUUGACUAAAUAAUAUCAAACAUUGUAAACAUUAACAUCAAAUCAACAAAUUCAACCAUGCAAAUAAUCAAUCCAUCAAGGUUUCAUGCAUCUUGAUCAAGCAGCACACUCUCUUGCCUAAUACCACAUGUUCGAAACCCGGUGGGGAUCCCAUCCAUCUGGCCAAAUGUUUUACUUUUUUGGACUUGAUCAUUGAGAUAUUCCUUAAAGCUAGGGCUCCUCGAAAUGCCACUCUUUGUGUUUAUCGAAGGUAAGACAAAGGAUCAAGAUUCUUAAAAUCCCAUCUUGACAUUUAUUUAAAAAUAAAUAUUAGAAUCAUUGCCACAAAUUAUCAAACAACACAGAUCAAAAGUAUGUAACAAACAAAUAUGAAAGGUUCACCAUAAUUAUGCUAUGUUUUUAUCAUUUUAUUUAGCUAAAAAAGGCAUUU